This is a long non-coding RNA of Daphnia pulicaria, 515 nucleotides long. RefSeq lists it as uncharacterized. The transcript is spliced from 3 exons. The record is from RefSeq and is a predicted model, not a curated record. NCBI's taxonomy places the organism in Eukaryota, Metazoa, Arthropoda, Branchiopoda, Diplostraca, Daphniidae.
CCAUGUAGCCUCGCUGGUCUGGAAACCCCAAAGGAUUGACGGGGCCGGUCAAGAGUGGCGUCAUCCUCGAUUAUUUGAAAGAACGAUUGAAUUUCACUUACGAGAUGGUCAGAGUCACCGAGGACAUAUUAGAGCCGCAGGGAAAGCAACAAGGACUGUUUAGUUAUUUGUUGGAAGAUGUUGAGUGCUGUGGUUGUUAAAUUUUUAAUUGUGUCCAGUAUUAAACUAAUCAAUUCAACGCUUAUGCAGAAAUGCGACUUUUUAAUGGCAGGUGUGGCACCGACAUUCGAGCGAGUGAAACGUGCAGAUUUGACUGCGCCUUGGUUGUUCGAUUGUUACGACCUUCUCUUUGUCGUCCAGGACGACACGGUUAAUAUCAACGCCGUCGUCAAACCUUUCCAAUGGCCGGUCUGGUUGGGAAUGUUGAUUUCCGUGAUUGUCGUAAUCACCAUCUUGAAUGUGUUGCAAUAUCGAUUGCUGCCUAAAAUCGAUUCUGCAAGAAAUCACGACCGUAA